GUAGGUGGCAAGCGUUGUCCGGAAUUAUUGGGCGUAAAGCGCGCGCAGGCGGUUCUUUAAGUCUGAUGUGAAAGCCCACGGCUCAACCGUGGAGGGUCAUUGGAAACUGGAGAACUUGAGUACAGAAGAGGAAAGCGGAAUUCCACGUGUAGCGGUGAAAUGCGUAGAGAUGUGGAGGAACACCAGUGGCGAAGGCGGCUUUCUGGUCUGUAACUGACGCCGAGGCGCGAAAGCGUGGGGAGCAAACAGGGAUUAGAUACCCUGGUAGUCCACGCCGUAAACGAUGAGUGCUAAGUGUUAGGGGGUUUCCGCCCCCUUAGUGCUGCAGCUAACGCAUUAAGCACUCCGCCUGGGGAUACGGCCGCAAGGCUG
This 372-nucleotide ribosomal RNA is filed under the name uncultured organism. Its description in RNAcentral is "partial 16S ribosomal RNA". It matches the Rfam family "Bacterial small subunit ribosomal RNA", at positions 527 to 896 of the family's 1533-position model. The record is from RNAcentral.